This 201-nucleotide ribosomal RNA is filed under the name Triticum aestivum (bread wheat). RNAcentral describes it as "partial small subunit ribosomal RNA". The record is from RNAcentral. Lineage: Eukaryota; Viridiplantae; Streptophyta; Magnoliopsida; Poales; Poaceae.
AUGAGCAACAUGCGGGAGGCGGAGGCAACGCUCGAGUACUGGCGCCGCUGCUACGGCCUCGCCGAUGAGGACCUCGACCGCUACUGCCGCUACCUCAACGACAAGGACGACUGGACGAGGACGACUGGUUCGCCGACCUCUGAAAUGGCGCCUGCAAGAUUCUUGCCAUGGCAGAGGCAGCGGCACUAUAAGAAAACAUAG